UACAGAGGUCUCAAGCGUUGUUCGGAUUCAUUGGGCGUAAAGGGUGCGUAGGCGGCGCGGUAAGUCGGGUGUGAAAUCUCGGAGCUUAACUCCGAAACUGCACUUGAUACUGCCUUGCUAGAGUACUGGAGAGGAGAUUGGAAUUUACGGUGUAGCAGUGAAAUGCGUAGAUAUCGUAAGGAAGACCAGUGGCGAAGGCGAAUCUCUGGACAGUUACUGACACUGAGGCACGAAGGCCAGGGGAGCAAACGGG
Molecule: ribosomal RNA, 253 nt
Filed under: uncultured bacterium
Lineage: Bacteria
Description: partial 16S ribosomal RNA
Rfam family: Bacterial small subunit ribosomal RNA
Source: RNAcentral